This 489-nucleotide long non-coding RNA is filed under the name Carica papaya (papaya). RNAcentral's name for it is "long non-coding RNA (CPAP_LNC012230)". Lineage: Eukaryota; Viridiplantae; Streptophyta; Magnoliopsida; Brassicales; Caricaceae. The record is from RNAcentral.
GAAUGUGCUGUGGCGGCACCUGUUGGUACUGUGGCUGUGGUACCGGGUCGUACCGCGGCUGUGGUGCCGGGUGGUACCGUGGAGGAACAGGCUCCUGCCGGGGUGGCUCGGGAUCAGCCUGCUGUAGCGGGGGCUCAACCUGCGCUAGCGGAGGAGGUCCCGGUAACUCCCUUCUCUCCUCUUGCCUUCGCUGGGCAGCUGCGAGAGCCUCCACCAUCUCGAAUAGUCUAUCUAAAUCCUCCCGAAGUGAAUUAUCUGGGGCCGCUCGGUUUAGUGGGGGCCUUCCUCUUCUCAUUCCCGUGUACCUGCAUUCACAAGGAAUGAUUGAGUAAUGAUAUAUCGGUGAGUAUUUCUCUAAGGCACUAUUGUGUAAGGGAUGGGUCCGAGGAAACCUGGCUCUGAUACCAACUGUAACAGCCCCGGUAAUUCAUAAUGGAAUGUAUAUAAAAAAAUAUCAAAUGCUGAAGCGAAGUCAAAAUUUGAAUAACA